CCUACGGGAGGCAGCAGUGGGGAAUAUUGCACAAUGGAGGAAACUCUGAUGCAGCGAUGCCGCGUGAGUGAAGAAGGCCUUUGGGUUGUAAAGCUCUUUCGUCGGGGAAGAAAAUGACUGUACCCGAAUAAGAAGGUCCGGCUAACUUCGUGCCAGCAGCCGCGGUAAUACGAAGGGACCUAGCGUAGUUCGGAAUUACUGGGCUUAAAGAGUUCGUAGGUGGUUGAAAAAGUUGGUGGUGAAAUCCCAGAGCUUAACUCUGGAACUGCCAUCAAAACUUUUCAGCUAGAGUAUGAUAGAGGAAAGCAGAAUUUCUAGUGUAGAGGUGAAAUUCGUAGAUAUUAGAAAGAAUACCAAUUGCGAAGGCAGCUUUCUGGAUCAUUACUGACACAGAGGAACGAAAGCAUGGGUAGCGAAGAGGAUUAGAUACCCUCGUAGUCCAUGCCGUAAACGAUGUGUGUUAGACGUUGGAAAUUUAUUUUCAGUGUCGCAGCGAAAGCGAUAAACACACCGCCUGGGGAGUACGACCGCAAGGUUAAAACUCAAAUGAAUUGACGGA
This 559-nucleotide ribosomal RNA is filed under the name uncultured bacterium. RNAcentral's name for it is "bacterial SSU rRNA". It matches the Rfam family "Bacterial small subunit ribosomal RNA", at positions 338 to 917 of the family's 1533-position model. The record is from RNAcentral.